GACAGUUCAAAUGAGAAAUAAGAUUAUAAAGACUGCCCCUCCAGCAUAUAAGCAGGUAAUAAUGACACUGCUUAUAAAUCAAACAGGAAACUCAUUGCAAUUGGUUACUGAAGCCAUUAUGCAAUUAAGAGAAUUGGCAGACUGGGCACCCAUGACCCAGGCACUCAAGAACCCUGGUGAGGGAGGCUUCCCAAGACCAGGUCCAUCAACAUUCAGACCAUCUGGGACACCAAAGGAUGGAAAUAAUGAAAACAGGGUAAGUAGAAAAGAAAUGUUCCUGGCUCUCCUCAGAGAGGGUGUAAGUAAAGAACAUAUUGAUGGAAAAGAUACCCCUACACUCUGGAGACUAUACAAGCUAAAGGGACUUCAUAAGAAAGUAGUCAAAGUAAAUAGCCUACGGACAGAUGCCCCAACACCUUGGGGAUGUCCAGAUAAAGCACCAUCCUUUCCACAGGUGCAGGAACCACCAAAGCUACCCACUUUGAUUCCUACAGCACCUCUUUUGCCAGGAGGAGGAUUGUUCGUUAGCUUGCUAGGAAAGAUUGGGGAGGAAUUGGAUAAGAACUUAAAAAAGCUUGUUGUAUUGUUGGAAAGGACAGAAGCAAGUGAGGAAAGGAAACUGAGUUCAUUGUACCCUAAUUUGCAGAAAGAGACAGCAAGUAGUGAGGUACUUAAGAUACUUGAGGAAUACACACACAGGGAAUUGCCUAACCCGGGAGACCUGGAUUUGACAGACCUAGAUUGUAGUAAUUGACUAGUGCGGCAGGCUCCAGUGAUUGAUUUUUCAGUAAAAGAUCAUAGACCCCAUGUAAAAGUUGAAAUUCACUGGGAGAAUAAAAAUGUUGAAAGGGUUACUGCUCUUGUAGACACUGGAGCCGAGGCCACUUUAAUUUAUGGAAACCCUAAGAAAUUUGUUGGAUUACCCUUUGUAAUCACAGGUCUGGGAGGUAAGAGGACAGAAGCAGUUCAGACCUGGGUAGAACUAAAAAUUGGACAGUUGCCAAAAAAGAGGUAUUCAGUUUUAAUUGUCCCCAUACCUGAAUACAUAAUUGGAAUUGAUAUCCUUAAAGGAUUGACCUUGCAUUUGGGGGAUGGCUGUUACAGUUUUAAGACUAAACCCUAUAUAUCAGCCAGACCCGUGGUGGUAGGAAAAUUAAUACCCACUGUGCAACUACCACCAGCUACUAAAGAAGUACAUAUGAAGCAGUACAGGAUCACAGGAGGACAUAGAAAAAUCCUUCCAAAAGCUAAACAAAAAGUGCUGGAGUUUCAAACUCCCAAAAGCAAGAAACAAGCUCAAAGCUUUUUAGGUCUCUUUGAUUUUUGGAGACAACACAUACCACACCUGAGUCAGUUACUCUCCCCUUUGUACAAAGUAACCAGGAAAAAACAUGAUUUUGAUUGGGGAGAAGAGCAACGGAAUUCAUUUGAGGGAGCUAAACAGGCUAUCCAACAAGCCCUUGAUCUGUGGCCCAUACGAGAUGGAGACAUAGACUUAAAUGUAUCAGUAAAUCAGCAAUAGGCUAAUUGGAGCCUUUGGCAGAAACAAGGAAGGACUAAGGUUCCCCUUGGUUUCUGGACAAGGAAGUUACCCGAGGCAGGAAAGAGGUACACACCCUUUGAGAGACAGCUCUUGGCCUGUUAUUGGGCCUUGGUGGAUACUGAACAGAUGACAGUAGGACAUAGAGUGUUCUUACGCCCAGAGAUACCUAUCAUGCAAUGGGUACUUAGUUCCCCUAAGACACAUAGGAUAGGUCAUGCACAAGAGUCCAGUAUCAUAAAAUGGAAGUGGUACAUACAGGAUAGAGCUAAAACAGGAAAUAGUGGUACGGCUGUACUACAUGAGAAAAUUACAGAUGCGCCGAUACAAGAACCUGGUUAUCUGCCAGAAGCAGACAAGCCAGGGCAAUCUCCAGUAAAGUUGGGGAAGUAUUUUGCGCAACUAACACAGGAUCAAGCAAAACAUGCUUGGUUUACUGAUGGUUCAGCAAAAUACAUUGGCAAUGAGAGACAGUGGAAAGCAGUGUCUUACAAUCCAGAAACCAAGAAAAUUCUGACUACUACAGGAACGGGAAAAAGUAGCCAGUAUGCAGAGUUAUAUGCAGUGUUUCAGGCUCUGAAACAAGAGAUGCCUGGAAGUUGUCAUAUAUACACAGAUUCCUGGUCUGUUGCCAAUGGACUGGCUACGUGGUUGCCUACAUGGCAGUCACAUCAGUUCAUGAUCCAACCAAAGGAAGUCUGGGGAAAAGAUUUGUGGGAGCAGAUAUGGGACAUGGUACACCAAAAUGAGGUAAAAGUCUUUCAUGUAGAUGCUCACUGUAAUACUGACUCAUUGGAUCGUCUGUUUAACUCUGUUGCAGACGAGAAAGCCAAGAUCUCAGAGGCGUCUGUUGAAAAUCCUAACUCGCUUUUGGGAUUGGCUAAUUGGGCCCAUCAGAAAUGUGGACACUUAGGAGAGAAAGACACUCACAGGUGGGCACAACAGCGAGGCAUUUUAGUGCCGCUCGAUUUAAUUAAAACAAUAAUUCUGCAAUGUCCAGUGUGUCAGCAUGAGCAGAAUAGACAUGUUCCAGGGAUGGUACGAGGUCAAAUAAAAAGAGGAAAAGCGCCAGGGCAAAUAUGGCAGGUGGAUUACAUAGGUCCACUUCCUAUGAGUAAAAAUUGUCAAUAUGCAUGCACGGCUGUGGAUACAUUCAGGGUAUUUAUUGGUUCACCCUUGCAAGAGGGCUACCCAAAUAAAUACUAUUAAAAUGUUGGAAACAAUGAUACAGUACUAUGGUCUUCCAUUACAGAUUCAGAGAGACAAUGAAAUUCACGUUAAAGGAAAAUUGGUACAAGACUUUUGUAAUGAAAACGAUGUUGAAUGGAUUCACAAAAAGAGACGAAAAAAAGCUGAAAGUUCAUUGGUCUGGCCGUUAUUAUGAAGCUUAUUCCACAUCUUUUGGUCGGUUCAGAUACCAACGACGAGAUCGGAGGUUGGGACCAGAGUGAUUCCGCACAGAUGAAAUGGAAAGAGAUCAAAAUAAGAUUAACCUAACUAAUGAUUGUCCAAACACGAGGGCAAGCCUGUAUGGAGAAGGCUAUUUCAGCCACAAUGAAACUGAGACAAUGAACUAUGUUAAGCUGCCAAACGAAUCAUUUGAUGUGCUAACAUUCAUCCGACUUAAUAAUGAACAGGAACAAAUUAGACAGGUAGCUUUGCAGAACAGAAUAGCCUUAGAUUACCUGCUUGCAGCAGAAGGAGGCAAGGCAUGUUGUGUGCGGAUAGAAGACGAAUCAGGGAAAAUUAAGCAUGAGCUUCAUCAUUUUGAAGAGAUACAGAAACGCCUUCGAACACCACUAACCACAGAUGACUUAGGACACUGGCUGGGUAAUGCUACAAAAGACUUUGACUGCACAUUUGGCCUGGGAUCAUGGAUAGGAGGACUUGGGUUGAAAAUAUUAAAAGGAAUUGUGUGGUGUGUUUUUUUUUAUACUUUGUAUUUAUCUAUGCUACAAAAUUACAAUUUGCUGCAUUCAAAGAGUGGCUAGAUUAAAAAGAAAUGAGAGUAUAGAGCUAGAAGAGUUUAAUUAGAAGUUUUGAUAUUCACUACAGAAAAUCAGAUCGCCCUCAUGAUUAGGACUGUUAAGCGGGAAGAGGUAUCUCCUAAGGUUUGAGCUACAGGUUUAUCCUGUUUAAAAUUGGCUUACUUAGGUGAUCCUCGACUCGGAGAGCUUUAUUGCGUGAAUUGGUUCCAGGUGUGAAUGGAACAAUAUUUGGGGGUCAGUGGGUAAAUGGGCUUGCCCCCUGCUGAUAACCUGAAUGGCAUGCGUAAAUGUGUGAGGUUUUGCUCACUGAGUGAUCAAGGGAUGGAAUGUGAUAAUAAUAUUCAAUUUUUAUUAAGCAUGAUUGAUUGAUCACUAUUGAGCAAAUUAAACUAUUAUAGAUAGCUAAAAUGGCACUUGUCUUAAACUGUGUCGCACUAAAAAAUUCAACUAAGAAAAAGAAGAUGACACAGCAUAGAAUGUUCUAUAGCAUGUCUGGCCAAUAUCCAAAGUGGCCUACGUGCUUAAAAGUGGGAUUUGGUGCCAGCAAUGUUUAGAAAUAUAAAAGUAUAGGGGCAUAGCUUUAUAGAAAGGGUCCGCAUGUGUCUGGCAUGGGCCUUGGGUGGUCAUGACUGGCCUGAUCAACCAUAAAGAUUACUUAAUGCGCAUGACAAAUACAUGCUGGGCUGCACUGAUAAGAAAACGUAUAAAAGACGGAGAAACUUGGCACUCGGUUUGGAGAACUAGCCACCUGUAAUACGGACGCGUGUUGCUGGUCUCUGCUGUUUCCCAGUAGAGAGGGUCCCUCUAAGUCUGACUGCCGGAGUUCCCCCAGUCGUGUGCAGCGGAGCGACAACCAAACCACUCUAAUGGUGAUGUAUACUUAAGCUGAUAUAUCUACAUACUAAGCUGUUUGAAGUGAAUGCAUGCGAUAACUUAAAUGAGAGAAUAAAGUGUGGUGUGAAUUCUAAUAUUCAA
Pelobates fuscus (common spadefoot toad) is the source of this 4503-nucleotide RNA transcript. RefSeq lists it as uncharacterized. NCBI's taxonomy places the organism in Eukaryota, Metazoa, Chordata, Amphibia, Anura, Pelobatidae. The record is from RefSeq and is a predicted model, not a curated record. The transcript has 2 exons.